GCGCUCAUAGCUCAGCUGGAUAGAGCAACGGCCUUCUAAGCCGUGGGUCGCAGGUUCGAAUCCUGCUGGGCGUA
Molecule: transfer RNA, 74 nt
Filed under: Pseudomonadota bacterium
Lineage: Bacteria; Pseudomonadati; Pseudomonadota
Also listed under: 2 other names
Description: Proteobacteria bacterium (gut metagenome) tRNA-Arg
Rfam family: tRNA
About the family: Transfer RNA (tRNA) molecules are approximately 80 nucleotides in length. Their secondary structure includes four short double-helical elements and three loops (D, anti-codon, and T loops). Further hydrogen bonds mediate the characteristic L-shaped molecular structure. tRNAs have two regions of fundamental functional importance: the anti-codon, which is responsible for specific mRNA codon recognition, and the 3' end, to which the tRNAs corresponding amino acid is attached (by aminoacyl-tRNA synthetases). tRNAs cope with the degeneracy of the genetic code in two manners: having more than one tRNA (with a specific anti-codon) for a particular amino acid; and 'wobble' base-pairing, i.e. permitting non-standard base-pairing at the 3rd anti-codon position.
Source: RNAcentral